UGGUAGAUUACUGCGGUAUAGAGAACAAGUGUCAAACCAUGAUGAAACAGCAUUUUUAGAACAGAUCUGCCCAAAGCCUAACAGCAGAGAUCGAAAAUACGCGCGAAUCAAGAUCUUCAAUAACAUGUACGUGUAGGCGCACCCCACUCACAAAAGUGAUACCUCAUAACUCCGCACGCGCUGUUGUGGUGGAAAGGAUGCCGUUGGACGAAAAUACAUAGCCAUACCUGAAACACACACAACAUUCAUUAUUCAUGGCCUUAAAGAAAACAAUGAAAAUAUCUUCAUAUUUGAGAUCCUAACAAGCUCUAAAAAUCCAUCUGGCUACUAUUUCUACGUACAUCCAUCAUAAUGUCGGUGUGGUGUGUAUGCAUACCGGCUCGCGAAAGUCGGAGCCGCUGACCGCUACAGAUUCAAUUUUAGUGUACCUCGCAAGAGACCAGGGGCUCUGUGAUUGGCAUUCGAACCCAAGGAAAACCAGGUGAAACGUAUGAAAGUAUGAGAAGUAAUUGGUUGAAAUUUCAAGAUGGCCACCAUGGAUAUGUUUCGGGUUCUAAGAACCCUUACACUGGAAACUUCCCAAGCAUGGAGGACACAUUUACUCUAGAAGCAGCUUCAGGCAGUCUGCUGGUUUAACUUUAGGUUCCCCUUGGCUAUUUUUGAUGCUUCCUUGCUUAUGAUUAAAGGUUGCGACUAAACUAGUUUUUGGUUUUCUGACGACACUCAAUAUUGAAAAGCGCUUUUGUGUUCUGAGUUUGCACAAACAUGGGAAACGGAUGGUAACUGUACUUUGUACUUUGAAAAUCUUUACCUAAUUCGGAAGUGCACGGUAUGGAUUAAAAAUUUACCUUUUCAGUACCCAGCGAAUGCGUGACCCCUGGUCAGUACGUAUUACAGAUGUCAACUAUGGCCGCACGGUGGUAUACCAGUCAAGAGGAUUGUGAGAGCAAACCAGAUAGAUGCUUUUGGUCACAUGGGUGGGAUACACAAACGCGCAAUAUGAUGACAGCCAUCAUGCUACUACAGCAAAGACUCGGUGUGCCAUCAGUACAGGGGAGCCAAGAUAAAGUACCUGUGCAUGUCAGCGAAACAGUGUCAAGCUGAAAGCCACUGCUACAAUUACAAGAAAAAAAAGUUAUGAUGUUCUUUGAUGAUUAUAUCAGCACAGCACUGUGCAAAUAUAUAUACUGAAUUUCCCCAAAGAGAUUAAUUCUUUCCUUUUUUAACAUCUCACAAUGUAAACAGCUAUCUUUUGAGAUAGCAAGGACAGCAUUGUAUCCCAUUUCAGCGCUGUUGCACUGCACACCCAUUCCUCGCAGGAUUAAUCAGUGUAAUUUUUGUAACAUUUUUUACAUUAAAUCAGUCAGUCCGGACAUUGAAUUUGACGAUAGUUGUAACCUAGUGCCUUGAAUUAACGUUUUCUUCACAAUUAUCAGAAAUUUAUAGAGUGUGAUUGGCGAUAAGCAGUACAAAUGAGCACAAAUGGGAAAGUGUACCUGUCAUAUUUGUGGCUGGAAAGUGUGAUAGGACAGUUUUAAGGUGGUGCCUGCGCCACUAGACAAUACGCGUGACCCGCACGCUCUGUUAUACAGACUACUAGAUUCAGUUUCUUGACAGGAAAUGUGAACUGUUAUGUUUUCAUCCAUGAAAAUGUUUAACCGAUUAGUGUUUUGCUUCUCAAACUU
Long non-coding RNA from Stylophora pistillata, 1685 nucleotides. The record is from RefSeq and is a predicted model, not a curated record. NCBI's taxonomy places the organism in Eukaryota, Metazoa, Cnidaria, Anthozoa, Scleractinia, Pocilloporidae.